ACAACCCUGAGAAAGGAAAAUUCUGCUCUCUGUGUUUUAAAUUCAUGUCACAAGGGAGCACCUAAUAAGGACCUGACUCACAGUGGACAUUAAAACAGUGAUUAUGUGAACUAAUUGGUGGAUAAAUCGUUGGCUCUCUGCUUCAAGCACAGCAAAACAAGUCAGCUUCUUGGAUAUCUUUUAUGGGAGAUAAUAUGGCUAUCCAAAUGUUCACCAAUCCCUCACUUAUGCCUUGUGCCCACUCAUGGGAGACAUAUAAUCUCAUGCCCCAGUGAUGUUGGGCUUUGACAUGUGACUUGCUUUGGCCAAGAGAAUGUAAUCAGAGAUAACAUAUGCCACAUUUUAUUAGAAGCUGUGAGAGAUAUUUUACAUUUCUAUCAGUCACCUUUAAUUUCUGCCCUCUGGAAUUUUAAAAGUAUGUUGUAGUUGUGGCUAAUAUUUCCACUUGGAUACUGCAAUAAGAAAACACAAAGAGACAGGCCAAGCACAAUAAGACCAACCAACCAAAUCCAGAAAUGCUCAGCCAAACUGAAGCUGACCCUCGGCAUUCAUGUGAUGGGUGAGAACUACAAGGUGUAAGCCUUUGAGAUUUUGUGGUUCUCUGGCUGAAAGAAAAGUUGAUUGAUAUCCUUCUAUAAAACAAAAGAUUCAGAAGGAUCUAAUGGAUUAGGUUUUAGUAUAUUAUUGCAAAUCAUAAUGAAUUCUUAGAUACAUAUUUUUUAACCAUAAUAGGAAGAAUAGCUAUUUAUACAACUCAUAUUUACAAGAUGAUUUCAUAUUUUUAGUUCAUUUUCUGCUGUGUAGAAAUGUAAUGGUUAUAAUAUGGUGCCCUUUCAUGCUCAUCAAGCACUCUUUUAUCUCACUAAUGAAGGGCAAAAGUGAUGGACAUAUGUUGUUACUAGAAUAAAAGGCCACCUUACACUCAAGAAAAUUAAUGUAUUACUGUGAUAACUUUGUUCUCUAUUAAAAAUGAAUCAUUCUUGAAUCAGAAUUUCUUUACUUUGGAAGUUAGUAUUUCACCCUUAUAUCAAUUUAACUUUGUAGAAAUAUGACUAGAAAUUAAAUGGCAUAAAAACUGAGAAACAAAUUUAUACAGAAAAGAUUUACAAUUUAUAAUGAGUUGUGCCAAGUAGGAAAUAUUUUAACCUCAUAAGGAUAAGUGUGAAAUCAAGAAAUUUGUAGUCAAAGGUGGUUCAUCCUAUAAAAAUAAAAAUAUAUAGGAGAAUACUGAUGAGAAAAGAAAAUUAAAAUAUCCAGAAAUUUUCAUGUAGCUUAUUUGAAGUCACAAAAUGUGACAAAAAUACCAUAAAAUAAAAUGUGUAAUUCAGGGCUCCAGAAAUGGCCAUGGUGCUGAUAGUUGACAGCUGUUGUUUUUGCCUUCCCAGCACUCUCCCACUUUUUAAUGUUAAGAGAAUUCUAAUUCUGUUUUGGGAAACAUCCUCUCCUCUUUCACUUCAGUAGCCCUAGUGCUAUAGUGUCAUUCCUCUUUUAAAUGUGGGCAAUGUGAGCCCAAUAAAUCAUAGUCUCAUAUGACCCUCACCACAGGCAUUUCUUUAGGACUGGCAUCUGAGCCAAGAGAGGAUACUCAGAGCAGACAGGAAUCUGAGGAGUGAAAGAAACUUUCUUCAGCUAUUAAAGUUGAGAGAAGAUAGCAGUAAGAUGGGAGCAGCCGGUGUACAUCUAGUCAGCAGAAAUGGCAAGCCAGCCUGAGAACUCCACUAACACAAAGGAAAGCAAAGCUCAGAGAAGGCAAGGGACAGACCAAGUUCUGAUGAUGCCAUAUAAUCCCACACCCUCCCAAACAGGAUACACCUGAUUUUUUAACCUUGUUUUCCUUUCUCUUGCAAUUUCAAUCCCUGAUAGAUACAGUGCUCCUGGGGGUGGUUGAGGCAUUUGAAGAUGAAUAUUUUACAAUUAGACUUUCCCUUCACGUCUGUAUUUCAGUAAACCCAUAAAUAACAUAUUUCAGAAGUGGUUGGAUUCUUGUGAUGUUUCUCAAUUUAAGUUUCAUUUUUGCAACCAUGUCCUCUAGAGGAAUUCCAGCAAAUGGCUGGCAGUGAAGUUUGGCAUGCAAACAUAUGAGGACUGUAUCUGAAAAUCUCCUUUGAAUAUUGAUUCAUCAGAUGAUUAAUCUCUAAUUUUUUAAUUAAAAAAAGCAGGCUAUAUUAUUAGUACAAAAAGAGUUUUUUUCAUUUUGUAAAUUUUUAUUUUGGGAAAAAAGUCAAACCUACAGAAAAGUUGGAGGAAUUUUACUACAGGCACAAUGCAACUUGUACCUAGAGAAAUUUAGACAUUAAAUUUUUCCCAAAAUUAUUUUCUUUCUCUAAAUACAUAUGCUUUUUUUUCUUUUGCUGAACAAUUUGAAAAUAAUUUGUAGGCAUUUCAUAACUUACCUGACAAAUAUGUUAGCAGGACUCUCCUAAGAAUAAAAACAUUCUUCUCUAUAACUUCUAUACCAAUGUUGCAUCUAAGAAAAUUAACUCUAAUUUUAAAAUAUCACCUAAUAUACUGUCCAUCUUCAAAAUUCCCUAAUUGUUCUAAAAUUGUCUUUUAGGAUCUUUUUGUAAAACUCCAGGAUCCAAUUGUGGUGUGUAAAUUGAAUUUGGUUAUGUCUCUUUAGUUUCUUUUAAUGUUGAACUGUCCCUUAUAUUUUUUCUCGUUAUAUUGAAUUGUUGACCAUUCUAGGCCUCUGGUCUUUUACAAUGUGUUCCUUUCUUGUUUUUUCUUAUGUAAAUUCAGUUUAAUAAUUUUGGCAAGAAUAGUACACAGUUGCUAUGUAUAUUUCUUGUUGUUUCACAUUAAGAACAUUAUAUCAAGUUGUCCUACCAUUGAUGAUUCAAAGUUUGGCUGCUAAAUCUCCGAAUUAUAAAGAAAAAUUCUUUUCUAUUAGUAAUUAAUAUUAUACUUGUGUGAUAUCUUGAAUAGGUAGGAAAGUCCAGUUUUCCAACAAUCCCCCACACAAUGGUUUUAGCAUUUGUUGAUAACGCUCAGAGAAGGCAAGGGACUGAACAAGUUCUGAUGAUGUGUUUUCGUUUUCGUUUGAAUAAAGUUCAUUUUUAGAAUUCAAUCAUUUUUUCCAUAUUUGUUAGAUGUCCUUUAUCUAUAAAGAUAAAGAAGACGUUACUUCCAUUCCUGCAUCUUCAUCAUACUCACACACAUAAUUAACCUUUUUCAUUAUUUUCUGUUUAUCUUUUCUGUGUGUGUGAUGUAUUACAUAUUAUACAUUUUAAAUAAUAUAUAAUAGAGAACAUUUAUUUGUACACAUACACACACACACAAAUUUCUUUUAUGCUCA
RNAcentral lists this long non-coding RNA (3295 nucleotides) under Homo sapiens (human). Its description in RNAcentral is "non-protein coding lnc-GPR63-4:1". The record is from RNAcentral. Lineage: Eukaryota; Metazoa; Chordata; Mammalia; Primates; Hominidae.